UCCGUAGGUGAACCUGCGGAAGGAUCAUUGAAUCGAUCGAAUCCACUCUGGUAACCAACCGUCCCCUCGCCCUGGUGCGAGCGUCGGUCCCCUGGCUGGGGUCUUCUGACCGCAGUUCAGGUCCGGCGGGCCUUGCUCCCACGGGUGUCCCUUCGGGGCCCCAUGGGUUGCAGGGUCGGUAAUUAUAUUCAACUCAACCCACCCCAAACCUAAAUCAAAACUAAAGCUGUCUAGUGAGUGCAUUUAUGCCUUACUUUAACCAAAGACAACUCUCAACAACGGAUAUCUUGGCUCCCGUAUCGAUGAAGAACGCAGCGAAAUGCGAUACGUAGUGUGAAUUGCAGAAUUCCGUGAACCAUCGAAUCUUUGAACGCAAAUUGCGCCCGAGGCUUCGGCCGAGGGCAUGUCUGCCUCAGCGUCGGCUUACACCCUCGCUCUCCCUCUCCUUUGGAGUCGUAGAGCGGAUCUGGCCUUCCCGGCUCCUCCUCGAUUCGUCGUUGAGUCCGGGUUGGUUGAAGUGUAGAGGCUUGAGCAUGGACCCCGUUUGUAGGGUAAUGACUUGGUAGGUAGCAUCGCUACACAGCCUGUCGUUGCCCGAGGGGACUUUGCUGGCGGCCUAGCAGGAAUUCGGGGUGGUUCUGCCACCCUGAAUGUCUCACAAAUUCGACCUGAGCUCAGGCAAGACUACCCGCUGAACUUAAGCAUAUCAAUAAGCGGAGGA
This 721-nucleotide ribosomal RNA is filed under the name Micractinium sp. KNUA036. RNAcentral's name for it is "eukaryotic LSU rRNA". The stretch from base 268 to 421 matches the Rfam family "5.8S ribosomal RNA". Lineage: Eukaryota; Viridiplantae; Chlorophyta; Trebouxiophyceae; Chlorellales; Chlorellaceae. The record is from RNAcentral.